Molecule: ribosomal RNA, 465 nt
Filed under: uncultured bacterium
Lineage: Bacteria
Description: partial 16S ribosomal RNA
Rfam family: Bacterial small subunit ribosomal RNA
Source: RNAcentral
GACGAACGCUGGCGGCGUGCUUAACACAUGCAAGUCGAACGGAAAGGCCCUGCUUGCAGGGUACUCGAGUGGCGAACGGGUGAGUAACACGUGGGUGAUCUGCCCUGCACUUCGGGAUAAGCUUGGGAAACUGGGUCUAAUACCGGAUAGGAGCCAUCUUUAGUGUGGUGGUUGGAAAGUUUUUUCGGUGUAGGAUGAGCUCGCGGCCUAUCAGCUUGUUGGUGGGGUAAUGGCCUACCAAGGCGGCGACGGGUAGCCGGCCUGAGAGGGUGUACGGCCACAUUGGGACUGAGAUACGGCCCAGACUGCUACGGGAGGCAGCAGGGGGGAAUAUUGCACAAUGGGCGCAAGCCUGAUGCAGCGACGCCGCGUGGGGGAUGAAGGCCUUCGGGUUGUAAACUCCUUUCGCUAGGGACGAAGCUUUUUGUGACGGUACCUAGAGAAGAAGCACCGGCUAACUACGUG